This is a long non-coding RNA of Oncorhynchus gorbuscha (pink salmon), 518 nucleotides long. RefSeq lists it as uncharacterized. Lineage: Eukaryota; Metazoa; Chordata; Actinopteri; Salmoniformes; Salmonidae. The transcript is spliced from 3 exons. The record is from RefSeq and is a predicted model, not a curated record.
CCCUGCUGACUAGUUAGGUACAGGUGGUUGUGUCACCCUGCUGACUAGUUAGGUACAGGUGGUUGUGUAACCCUGCUGACUAGUUAGGUACAGGUGGUUGUGUCACCCUGCUGACUAGUUAGGUACAGGUGGUUGUGUAACCCUGCUGACUAGUUAGGUACAGGUGGUUGUGUCACCCUGCUGACUAGUUAGGUACAGGUGGUUGUGUCACCCUGCUGACUAGUUAGGUACAGGUGGUUGUGUAACCCUGCUGACUAGUUAGGUACAGGUGGUUGUGUCACCCUGCUGACUAGUUAGGUACAGGUGGUUGUGUAACCCUGCUGACUAGUUAGGUACAGGUGGUUGUGUCACCCUGCUGACUAGUUAGGUACAGGUGGUUGUGUAACCCUGCUGACUAGUUAGGUACAGGUGGUUGUGUCACCCUGCUGACUAGUUAGGUACAGGUGGUUGUGUCACCCUGCUGACUAGUUAGGUACAGGUGGUUGUGUCACCCUGCUGACUAGUUAGGUACAGGUGGU